GGUGACCGACGGGACUCGAACCCGCAACCGCCAUCUUCACAGGAUGGAGCUCUCCCAGUUGAGCUACGGCCAC
RNAcentral lists this transfer RNA (73 nucleotides) under Vibrio phage 1.081.O._10N.286.52.C2. RNAcentral describes it as "tRNA-His". Lineage: Duplodnaviria; Heunggongvirae; Uroviricota; Caudoviricetes; Pantevenvirales; Straboviridae. The record is from RNAcentral.